This 253-nucleotide ribosomal RNA is filed under the name uncultured bacterium. Its description in RNAcentral is "partial 16S ribosomal RNA". It matches the Rfam family "Bacterial small subunit ribosomal RNA", at positions 524 to 776 of the family's 1533-position model. The record is from RNAcentral.
UACAGAGGGUGCAAGCGUUGUUCGGAAUCAUUGGGCGUAAAGGGCGCGUAGGCGGCCUUGUAAGUUGGAUGUGAAAGCCCAGGGCUCAACCUUGGAAGUGCAUCCAAAACUGCAGGGCUAGAGUAUCGGAGAGGGUGGUAGAAUUCCCAGUGUAGAGGUGAAAUUCGUAGAUAUUGGGAGGAAUACCGGUGGCGAAGGCGACCGCCUGGACGAAUACUGACGCUGAGGCGCGAGAGCGUGGGGAGCAAACAGG